UCGGGAAUUUUGGACAAUGGGCGAAAGCCUGAUCCAGCAAUGCCGCGUGCAGGAAGAAGGCCUUCGGGUUGUAAACUGCUUUUGUACGGAACGAAAAGGCUCUUUCUAAUAAAGAGGGCCCAUGACGGUACCGUAAGAAUAAGCACCGGCUAACUACGUGCCAGCAGCCGCGGUAAUACGUAGGGUGCGAGCGUUAAUCGGAAUUACUGGGCGUAAAGCGUGCGCAGGCGGUUCUAUAAGACAGAUGUGAAAUCCCCGGGCUCAACCUGGGAAUGGCAUUUGUGACUGUAGAGCUAGAGUACGGUAGAGGGGGAUGGAAUUCCGCGUGUAGCAGUGAAAUGCGUAGAUAUGCGGAGGAACACCGAUGGCGAAGGCAAUCCCCUGGACCUGUACUGACGCUCAUGCACGAAAGCGUGGGGAGCAAACAGGAUUAGAUACCCUAGUAGUCCCUGAGCGGGCUGGCAAGGCGCAU
Molecule: ribosomal RNA, 472 nt
Filed under: uncultured bacterium
Lineage: Bacteria
Description: bacterial SSU rRNA
Rfam family: Bacterial small subunit ribosomal RNA
Source: RNAcentral